UACUGCCCCGCCGCCUCACGCCGACCCGACACAGAUCUCUCGAGCUCCGUGGGUUCAACCAUGGUGAAAUGAGCAAAUCAGUCUCGCCAAUGCUGUGAGGGCCUACGCACGCUCCGGGUGGCAGUCGACCGGGGAGGCCAAGGGACCCCCGUACCAACGCGAGGACAGCGCCGUGCCCGAGGGGCCCUCGGAGGAAGGAGUGGGAGGCCUUGACUCGCUUCUCGGCCUCCGCCAUCAGCUGGACUGCCUCACGCUCCUUCCCCGCGUUGUCCAUGUCGCCAGCAGCCACCGCCACAGCCUCCUCAGCAGUGGACGCGCGCCUUCUGCGCCUUCGCUCUCCCCUCGCAAGGCGGGGAGCGCAGGAGCGGCGCGCGCGGCUUGCCGGGAGUGGUAGUGCGGGGCUCCGACUGGGCGGCGGUAAUGCGCAGCGCGUCAACUACAGUUCCCAGCAGGGCUCAGAGCCGGGCGAGAUGCGGACCCAACUGGUCGACUGCCAGAACCCGGGGUUUCAGGGUGGGCGCCCUAGGCCAAGGUGAACUUUAAUCGUUUAAGUGUGCAGGAAACGGAAAAUGGUCCGUGGCUUCUAGUAAAGAUAACUUCAAACACUCAGCAUCACGUUGGUUCAGGAAUUCCUGCUCAGCAUGACUGACACAUGGCAAUAGGAUGGAUGAGGAAACGGGCUAACAGAAUGGAAUGCUCAACCUACCGGCGAGUUCCGCAAGAGGGAAUCUAAUGCAGCCACAGAAAACAACUUCAUGAACUGUGUAAUACCCAUCCAUGCGCCCACCCACCAGCAACACCUGAGAGAGCCAUUUUUAUCUCCAGAGCAAGAAGUUUAAGAAUGUAUAAUUUUCCCAAAUAUAAUUCAGUUAUUUUUUAGUUUCCUCAUUUUGCAACCUUCUGUUGGUCCUCUCUUCCUUGGUUAUAAGUGAUAUGUAUAAUCCACUUUUUAUUGACAGAAUUCUUUUCAAUGAAUGUUAGCCAUUGAGCUCUCUUAUCCUUUACAUGAUACUGGCCAUAGGGGGUCGGUCUCCUGGGACACAAUUCCCGCCUGCCAGGAAAUCUAAUUUCCUAGAAGUAUCCAUAGACAGAUGCUACCCUGUGCCAAAGAUUUCCAGGACUGCCCAGAGGGAGUUAUUUUUUUAAUAUAAAGUCCAGACCAUUCACAUUUGGCAAUGCUAAAGCAGAGGUGGUGAAGCAUAUAUAAAAAUUACUGCCAAAUGAGAACUUGUGACAAUUUUAAACUAUUAAUAAGUACACUGUGGGUACUGGCACACAAAAUGUAUCUUAGAAAAUGUAGUCUGCCUUUACAGAACAAGGCAAGAAGGGCCAAACUCCUAGAAGGAAAGAUAACUAAAGCAAACGUCAGUGUUCAUGCAUUGCAGGACACUCUAGAGAUAGAAGGAAAUCUCAGCUUUCCAGGCAGAGUUUAUUUAGUAUUACUAUAUGCAUUAUUCUAACUUAAUUGCUUUUGGAGCAAGAUGGGGGAAGAGGAGCAGGAAUUGGAGGUGGUUGUAAAUGCAGGAGUAAAGAGGAAAACUGAAAAGUGGACAUAAGCGUUUGAAAAGCAGAGCAGUAUAUGGGGAUAUAAUGAAAAGAGCCAACUCAAACUCUGAAGUGCAGCAUCAGUUAAUUAAAGCAGUUCCCAAACCUGGCUCAAUGCCAAAACUAAAGGAUGUUCAAGAAAUACUGAUUCCUAAGCCACUAGCUUUUUGUAUCAGUAUCUCCUAGAGUUGGGAAGUGUACAUUUUAAAAAGAUUCUCCACAACUAUUCUAAAGCUUACAAUUCUCGAUUCUCAAAUCUGUAGUCAGCUGUACAGGAGGUAGAAUGGACUGCCUCCUCUAAACUAGUACUUGCAAUUAAAAUUUGUGAAGAGGAAAUUUGAGUAAUUUACAUCAAAAAGCUAAUCAGCCCUUUGUUCUGCUUCUGUAAAUAUGCUUGCUGUAUGCAGGAGCUCAUGCAAGAGCUCACUUGCACUUUACUCGACUUGUAGACUUGUAAAUGUAACUGCCCCUGCCUUUUGUAGCACCUUGUACCUUGGCAGGUCCCGCUUCCUGUAACAAUUUGUAUUCGCUGUUUACCUAUAACAACUCCCACCCUUCUCCAAUGUUACUACUUGCAAUUUGCAUAGCAACUCCCACCAUUUGUAAUGGUUUGAGUUCAAACUGACUAAUCAGCUUAUGUAAAAUCCUUGUAUAUAAGGAAUGUUGCCACUGAGCACACUACCCAGAUCUUCAGAACACUAGAUCCUCUGGGAGCCCAUGUAGUAAAUCUGAGUUCUCCUA
Long non-coding RNA from Pteropus alecto (black flying fox), 2286 nucleotides. RefSeq lists it as uncharacterized. NCBI's taxonomy places the organism in Eukaryota, Metazoa, Chordata, Mammalia, Chiroptera, Pteropodidae. The transcript is spliced from 2 exons. The record is from RefSeq and is a predicted model, not a curated record.